This 764-nucleotide ribosomal RNA is filed under the name Gilliamella apicola. RNAcentral describes it as "bacterial LSU rRNA". It matches the Rfam family "Bacterial large subunit ribosomal RNA", at positions 2170 to 2925 of the family's 2925-position model. RNAcentral also lists the same sequence under 1 other name. Lineage: Bacteria; Pseudomonadati; Pseudomonadota; Gammaproteobacteria; Orbales; Orbaceae. The record is from RNAcentral.
GCCAGUGUGAGUGGAGUCGACCUUGAAAUACCACCCUUUAAUGUUUGAUGUUCUAACCUAUACUUCUGAAUCGAGGUAAGGGACACUGUCUGGUGGGUAGUUUGACUGGGGCGGUCUCCUCCCAAAGAGUAACGGAGGAGCACGAAGGUUAGCUAAUCCUGGUCGGACAUCAGGAGGUUAGUGCAAUGGCAAAAGCUAGCUUGACUGCGAGAGUGACGGCUCGAGCAGGUACGAAAGUAGGUCAUAGUGAUCCGGUGGUUCUGAAUGGAAGGGCCAUCGCUCAACGGAUAAAAGGUACUCCGGGGAUAACAGGCUGAUACCGCCCAAGAGUUCAUAUCGACGGCGGUGUUUGGCACCUCGAUGUCGGCUCAUCACAUCCUGGGGCUGAAGUAGGUCCCAAGGGUACGGCUGUUCGCCGUUUAAAGUGGUACGCGAGCUGGGUUUAGAACGUCGUGAGACAGUUCGGUCCCUAUCUGCCAUGGGCGUAGGAAAAUUGAGAGGGUUUGCUUCUAGUACGAGAGGACCGAAGUGAACGCACCGCUGGUGUUCGGGUUGUGAUGCCAAUUGCAUUGCCCGGUAGCUACGUGCGGAAUAGAUAAGUGCUGAAAGCAUCUAAGCACGAAACUAGCCUCGAGAUGAGUUUUCCCUGAAGAGAUUCAGUAAGGUCCGUUUGAGACUAAGACGUAGAUAGGUCAGGUGUGUAAGUGUAGUGAUACAUUGAGCUAACUGAUACUAAUGAACCGAGAGUCUUAACCUUACAACUC